This 161-nucleotide non-coding RNA is filed under the name human gut metagenome. The record is from RNAcentral.
CGUUUUGGUUCGCUUUGCAGCGAUUGAUAGGGAAUCCGGUGAGAAUCCGGAACAGACCCGCUACUGUGAUUUCUGUAAACUUGCCGGCAUAUCGGCCACUGUCAUUUAUUUGAUGGGAAGGCGCCGGCGGGAUGGAAUAAGUCAGGAGACCUGCCCGAACG